CGGGGAUUGGCGCAAUUGGCUAGCGCGCGCGCAUGGGGUGCGCGAGGUUGCAGGUUCGAAUCCUGUAUUCCCGA
Molecule: transfer RNA, 74 nt
Filed under: Candidatus Shapirobacteria bacterium
Lineage: Bacteria; Candidatus Shapironibacteriota
Description: tRNA-Pro
Rfam family: tRNA
About the family: Transfer RNA (tRNA) molecules are approximately 80 nucleotides in length.
Source: RNAcentral